This 21-nucleotide non-coding RNA is filed under the name Arabidopsis thaliana (thale cress). The record is from RNAcentral. Lineage: Eukaryota; Viridiplantae; Streptophyta; Magnoliopsida; Brassicales; Brassicaceae.
GCGGUGCUGGCCGCAGCAGAA